AAAUUCUAAAAUGAAACACUGCAUGAUUUCCUAAUUUGGUUGAAGUACAAAUACAUGUAUAUCACAACAUACUGGUUUUUACCGGGUUUUCCUAAAUGAUUUUAAAUUGACUUCAAUUUGAGAAACUUAACACACUUCUGGUCAUAUUUUCAUAUAGAAUACAUACAUUUGUUGAUGAACAAAUAAUUCUAUUUGAAGAAAGAAUCACUUGGUGUGCACUGUGUACAUCAUGGACUUCUGUUAUGAUUGACCCUCUGCGGUUCAAAACAGGCAAUCCUCUUCGCCAUGAUUCCCAACCUGCAGUGGUUGCUCUUGAAAUUCUGACUCGCACUUCAUUCAGGGUUUUGGAAAUAUUCGGUUUGUUUUCAUUCACAUGGGCAAUGGAGAAGAUUUGAGAAUCCUCGCGAAUCCGAACAACAACGUUGGGAAGCGAAAUGUGCAACGAUCCCUUUCAAAAGACCUCUGUCGAAGAUGCAUUGUUUCCAAUUCCAGCAGUUCUCCUCGCAUACGUCUAUCCUUUCAAGUUCCACGCUGAGCUACAAGCAAUACAAUAGAUGAGACAAAAAUUUUACAAAAUAGGCUCUACGAUGAAAUGUAGCUUCAACCGAGCAUACAUUGUUCCACUAGCUCCUCAGUUCUCCGUGGAAAACAAUAUUGGCAAUUUAAGUACUGUAACGAGUGUAACAUAAUUUCACACUUCCCAAUCAAUCUUAGUCGCAUAAGCGUGGUUUCGCACAUUUGAAGAAUAUGAGAAUGAUUACAGUAUGAUCAUCUAGAGCAGUCGCUAUGCAAAGAUUUUAAGGGCCAAGAAGAUAAUCGACUACCCUGCUGCUGUAAUACUAUAACUGACCACGGAGUUUCAGGGCCAAUCUCUCUAUGUUUCCUCCUAGCUUGUGGUUUAUAAAUAAGUAACCAUGCCCUACCACGCAUAACAGUAGUUUUCAAGCUUAAUUGGGAACACAAUCCCAUGAACCGACAUACCACUCUGAACAGAACAAAAUGCGCAGCCAUUCGUGCUCACUGUCUAGUGCCGGAUCUCCAACCUCGGCAGGCGGGCACAGAGACAUUGCUACGCCUCCUGCGAUACGACCCCUCCUCCUCUAGGAAGACUUAUGAUCAAGUUGUUUCAACCUUUCUUCAACGGUGAUAGGCCCAUUGGCAACCUUGCUGGCCUUGCGGUCAGCAGAAGCCAUGAGAAUGCCAGCGAGGGUGCCCAUGGCACACACCAUAAGCAAGCGCAUGGAGCGCUUGUCGGCAGACGCAGACAUGGCACUUCCUUGACGAGGGGCAGGCAGGCAGGCAGACAAGUACACGGCGAAGCAAGAAGGACAGUGGAGGGAGGGAGGGAGAAGACUAGGGUUUCACAAAAAAAACAGAAGUAAAACAGAAAGCAAAAUACAAAACAAAAUACAAAACAAAACAAAACAAAGAGAGAGAGGAGAGUCCCUCCCUCCGUCCCUCCCUACGUCCCUUAACUUCACUUGCCCCGUCUCGUCUCGUCUCGUCACUGUUCUGUUCCGAGUCAGCCCUCCUCCUCCUCCCCUCCCUCCUCGGCGAAGUCCCUUUGUUCAUGUCCCCCCCCCACCACCACCUUGCUUGCUUACUUGCUUGGUGGCUUCGUAGUCCGAGUAACGCUGAACAAUCCCUAUACACCCGCAACCUAACACUUCAUUGACUCUACC
This 1682-nucleotide long non-coding RNA is filed under the name Physcomitrium patens. Its description in RNAcentral is "long non-coding RNA (PPAT_LNC004528)". Lineage: Eukaryota; Viridiplantae; Streptophyta; Bryopsida; Funariales; Funariaceae. The record is from RNAcentral.